This 244-nucleotide ribosomal RNA is filed under the name uncultured bacterium. RNAcentral describes it as "partial 16S ribosomal RNA". It matches the Rfam family "Bacterial small subunit ribosomal RNA", at positions 15 to 254 of the family's 1533-position model. The record is from RNAcentral.
GAUCAUGGCUCGGGACGAACGCUGGCGGCGCGCCUAACACAUGCAAGUCGAACGAGAGAGAAGGAGCUUGCUUCUUCGAUCGAGUGGCGAACGGGUGAGUAACGCGUGAGGAACCUGCCUCAAAGAGGGGGACAACAGUUGGAAACGACUGCUAAUACCGCAUAAGCCCACGGGUCGGCAUCGACCUGAGGGAAAAGGAGCAAUCCGCUUUGAGAUGGCCUCGCGUCCGAUUAGCUGGUUGGUG